This 76-nucleotide transfer RNA is filed under the name Lentisphaeria bacterium. RNAcentral's name for it is "tRNA-Glu". It matches the Rfam family "tRNA". From Rfam's summary of the family: Transfer RNA (tRNA) molecules are approximately 80 nucleotides in length. Lineage: Bacteria; Pseudomonadati; Lentisphaerota; Lentisphaeria. The record is from RNAcentral.
GACCCCUUCGUCUAGAGGCCUAGGACACCGGGUUUUCAUCCCGGCAACAGGGGUUCGAAUCCCCUAGGGGUUGCCA